Molecule: ribosomal RNA, 391 nt
Filed under: uncultured soil bacterium
Lineage: Bacteria
Description: bacterial SSU rRNA
Rfam family: Bacterial small subunit ribosomal RNA
Source: RNAcentral
AGGACGAACGCUGGCGGCGUGCUUAACACAUGCAAGUCGAGCGGUAAGGCCCUUUCGGGGGUACACGAGCGGCGAACGGGUGAGUAACACGUGAGUAAUCUGCCCUCCACUUGGGGAUAAGCUUCGGAAACGGGGUCUAAUACCUGAUACGACAACUACCUGCAUGGGUUGGUUGUGGUAAAGUUUUUUCGGUGGGGGAUGUGCUCGCGGCCUAUCAGCUUGUUGGUGGGGUAAUGGCCUACGAAGGCUUCGGACGGUAGCCGGCCUGAGAGGGUGACCGGCCACACGUGGGACUGAGACACGGCCCAGACCUCCGUACGGGGAGCAGCGAGGUGGGGAAUAGUUAGGACAAGUCGGGGACGGAAGCCGUGAUCCGAGCCAACGGCCGCGU